CCCACACCCCAUGGUGGCUGAUGCCCUGGGAGGCCAUCCAGGGCAACUCCAGCCUCCACAGUGAGACCAAGCCUCCCUUUUCAGAGAGAUGUAUAUUCAGUCCGUCCCAUCUCUCAGAGCACCAUGGCAGAUGACAUCCAAGGCCUUACAGAAUUCUCGAUCUGGAGACAUGGGAGCCCAUCCCCCUGGGCCUUGGACCAAGGGCCCUACUUUAUGGCAAGGAAAGAGCACCGUGGGUGUGCAAGCACGGUAGCCACUGGUCUGACCCUGGAGCGAUGGGCCUGACGGAACGCUGGGGCAGCCAGCUCGUGCGACACCCUGUGUCCAGAACCCACAGCUAAUCAAUGGUGCUGUGACCCCAAAAACUAGGACACACGGUCCAGGAACAAGCUGUGGAAAUAGGAUUGUGCCUGCCUCCAUCACUCCAGUACCUCACUUGUAGAUUUGUACUUCUCCUCCCUGCAGCCUGAGAUUUUGUCAGAGAAGAGGCCCAGUGGCGGUGAAUAAACAGCCCCUGCAGGGUCUGGCCAGACAACUGCAGGCCAACAGUGCCUCACCCUGAGUGGCAUCUCUCUUCCUGCCCUGGGAGUUCACUGAUGCCCCAUAUGGGAUGUCCCUCUCCCCAUCAGGAACCCGCUCAGAGAUCAGCUGUAACACCAUUCAGGCCAACCCUUGAUCCAAGGGAGACGGAGCUAUGGGGUGCCUCCCCCUUCCCCCUUGCUUCCCCCAGGCAGAUGGUCCCAAGAUGCAUUUCAUAAGGAAUCUCGGACAGCCCUGGGGGCCUGGGCACCCAGGUUGCCUUAAUGGUGAACUCAGGAAUGCACAUUUGUAUUGGUUCUUUUUCCUCUCCUGUUUCCCUCUCCCCUCUCCCCAUCCCUCACUCUUGCCCCUGCAACUGUACUCCCAAACAAACUACGUGUACCUCAGCCUUUAUUUUAGCCUGCUUUCAGGGAGCCCAGACCAAACAGGUGUUAUGGGCAGAAUUAUGUCCCUAACCCCUCCCCGUGGAAUUAGUAGGUUGAAGUCCUAACCCCCAGUACCUUAGAUGUGACUAUAUUUGGACACAGGGUCUUUAAAGAGGUAAUUAAGUUAAAAUGAGGUCAUCAGGAUGGGCCCUAAUCCAAUAUGACUGGUGUCCUUCUCAGAAGAGGAGAUUGGGACACAGACACGCACAGAGGAAGGAUCACAUGAAGACACAGCAAGAAGAUGGCGGUCUACAAGCCAAGGAGGGAGAAGAAACCAACUCUGCCUAUACCUUGGUCAUGGGUUUCCAGCCUCCAGGAUGGAAGAAAAUAAAUUUCUGUUGUUUAAGCCA
Molecule: long non-coding RNA, 1315 nt
Organism: Lagenorhynchus albirostris (white-beaked dolphin)
Lineage: Eukaryota; Metazoa; Chordata; Mammalia; Artiodactyla; Delphinidae
Exons: 2
Source: RefSeq, a predicted model, not a curated record